RNAcentral lists this unclassified non-coding RNA (209 nucleotides) under Cortinarius venetus. Its description in RNAcentral is "partial internal transcribed spacer 2". Lineage: Eukaryota; Fungi; Basidiomycota; Agaricomycetes; Agaricales; Cortinariaceae. The record is from RNAcentral.
AUAUAUCAACCUCUUCAGCUUUUGCUUGUCGAGAUGGUUGGAUGUGGGGGGUGUUUUGCUGGCCUUUUUUGAGGUCAGCUCCCCUGAAAUGCAUUAGCGGAACAAUUUGUCGACUCCGUUCAUUGGUGUGAUAACUAUCUACGCUAUUGAUGGGUGAAGGCAGAGUUCAGCUCCUAACAGUCCAUUGACUUGGACAACUUUUUUAUUUA